RNAcentral lists this ribosomal RNA (292 nucleotides) under uncultured bacterium. RNAcentral's name for it is "partial 16S ribosomal RNA". It matches the Rfam family "Bacterial small subunit ribosomal RNA", at positions 505 to 796 of the family's 1533-position model. The record is from RNAcentral.
GUGCCAGCAGCCGCGGUAAUACAGAGGGUGCGAGCGUUGUCCGGAAUCACUGGGCGUAAAGGGCGCGUAGGUGGCUAGGUAAGCGUGUGGUGAAAGUCCGGGGCUCAACCCCGGAUCUGCCGUGCGAACUGCUUAGCUCGAGCAAUGUAGAGGCAGGUGGAAUUUCGGGUGUAGCGGUGGAAUGCGUAGAUAUCCGAAAGAACACCAGUGGCGAAGGCGGCCUGCUGGGCAUUUGCUGACACUGAGGCGCGACAGCGUGGGGAGCAAACAGGAUUAGAUACCCUGGUAGUCC